Molecule: long non-coding RNA, 6959 nt
Filed under: Lynx pardinus (Iberian lynx)
Lineage: Eukaryota; Metazoa; Chordata; Mammalia; Carnivora; Felidae
Source: RNAcentral
UUGGAGUCUAGGAAACAGCAAGUGAAAGAAAACUGCAUUAAUAAUUACUAUUUAAAAAUCUGCCACCGAGAAGGUAACCACAAACUUAAAAGGGCUUGUCUAUUAGCUUCUAUAAUUUUGGAUUGAUUUUCAGAGAUAUAUUUUCUAGGUAAAAUCAAAGGAAGCACUCUGCAUUUUUGGCAUUAAUUCAAUACUAAUACUUUGCAUUCACUGUUCUAUAUUUUUGAAAAUGCUGUUCCAUCUGUAUUUUGAAGUAGAUAAUGCAGGCAUUAUUAUCAUUUAUACAUUGAGGAAACUGAGACAUGAGAACUUAAGUGACAUGGCCAAGACCUCACAACUACAACAUGAAAAGCAGGACCAGAAUUCUUGUUCUAUUGUUUUAUUCGUUACCAUCUGUCAGUAAAUGUUGAAUCUUUGAUUAAUCACAGGCAUUCCCACUUUAUAGUUUGGAAUAUAAAGACAAAACCAAAAAAUUUAAGGGGUUUGUUCAAGGUCAUUCUGUAAGAGAAAUGAAUAGCUAAGAAAAAUACAUGAGCGCUGACUUGAAAUCCUUUGCUCAAAUCACUUAACCACAACAAAUGUAAGAGUGAAAGCUAAAAAGCUAUGUAGAACACACUGUCCAUGGGGCGCCUGGGUGGCGCAGUCGGUUAAGCGUCCGACUUCAGCCAGGUCACGAUCUCGCGGUCCGUGAGUUCGAGCCCCGCAUCAGGCUCUGGGCUGAUGGCUCAGAGCCUGGAGCCUGUUUCCGAUUCUGUGUCUCCCUCUCUCUCUGCCCCUCCCCCGUUCAUGCUCUGUCUCUCUCUGUCCCAAAAAUAAAUAAAUGUUGAAAAAAAAAAUUAAAAAAAAAAAAAAAAAGAACACACUGUCCAUUACUGUUCUUAAGGUUUGUCCUAGAUAAAAGGUUUCCAUUAAAGUCCAUCUCUUCCUGGCAAACACUGUAGCCUUUGGGUAACUAUUUGUCUCCUCUAGAUGUAUUAGAAAUGAUAGAGAAGCAACAAUUUUUUUCCCCUGGGUAAAUAAUGGAAACAAACCAAUCCUUUGUGAUGCACAAAAGUCAGAAAGAUUAAAUUGUUUACAACUCAAAUACAGAAUUAUGUUCAUCAUACAGAUUAAGGUUUAUAACAGGCAUUGUGUGGCCAAAUAAUUAAGAUAAUAUUAUAGUAACAUUCUGUUAAUCUGACUUUUAAAACUCAAUUUUAAAUCAAAGAAACCACUAUACACCAGAUGAAUGAUUGCUUUUGCAUUCUUAGAUUUUUUUAAAAAAUGGAUACUAUAGGGGCGCCUGGGUGGCGCAGUCGGUUAAGCGUCCGACUUCAGCCAGGUCACGAUCUCGCGGUCCGUGAGUUCGAGCCCCGCAUCAGGCUCUGUCUGGGCUGAUGGCUCGGAGCCUGGAGCCUGUUUCCGAUUCUGUGUCUCCCUCUCUCUCUGCCCCUCCCCCGUUCAUGCUCUGUCUCUCUCUGUCCCAAAAAUAAAUAAACGUUGAAAAAAAAAAUUAAAAAAAAAAUAAAAAAUAAAAAAAAAAUAAAAAAUGGAUACUAUAGUGGAAAUUGGUCAUUAUUUGGGCCACCUGACCCGCUUCCCUAUAUUUAGAGAAUUCUUCACCUUGUAAAUCUUGGUGACCUGCAAAGAUUUAUCCCAUAGUGGAAAUAGAAGAUCUGAAAUGCUUUCUUUGCCUCUCUUGCUGUUAAGGUGCAAACAUGUAUUUAAUCACACAUCUAUGCUCGACCUUUGAUUCCAAGUUAAAGAUACAAGUUGUUUCUUUCUCUCUUUCUCCUUGUCACUGUCUUUCCUAGUGUCAGUACAGUUACUAUAAAGCAACAGUUUCUAACAGCCAAAGUGCAUCAAAUACUUGAUGUCUGUGGCACCAGCUCUAGGGUGACCACCUUGUCACAAUUUGCCUAGCACUUUUUCAGUUUUUGCUUGGAAAGCUCUGAAUCCCUGAAAACCUUUCAGUCCCAGGAAAACCACAACGGGAAGUUCAUCUUUGCUGUUUAGCUUGAAGCCUGGUUGUCUAGCCCUUCCAGCAAUUCUGUGAGCCACCCAAUAUAUCCUUUCUUUAAAAAAAAAAUUAUGGAGGUGUAACCCUAUGUUAUUUUAAUUAACGAUUGUUCUGCUUAAAUCAGUGAGAGUUGGUCUUUGUUACUGCUGCGGUGAACCUUCAAUGAAACAGACACCUUUGUGUGGAAGCAGUUUGGAAACCAACGUUUCACCAUGACCCGAUGGUUAAUUCAGCUGCUUGGGUUACUACAAACCCUAUGUGAUGUUAGUGAAGUCUUUUAAUAUUUUAAAGGUGUAGCAAAAGCAUCAAUAAUGAUUAUUCUUACCGUAUUGUUAAAUCCUGAGAUAUUUCUCAUGGUUGAGACUGUUGUGAGUCGUUUUCCCCUGGUGGUGAGACAAACAAACAUUGACAGAAUGUACAAUCACUUAGAAGUAAAGCUGAUGGCAGGAAGUCUUUGAAUUUCCCCAUCCCAUCCCAUCCCAUACCCCGCCUACCCCAAAAUUUAUGAACGCUUGUUUCUCCAAGAAAAAAAAAAUUUAAGUCAAAAAAAUAGAAGGAAUUGGUGACUUAAAAAAAGCCACUCAACUAUUCAUCUUUGGAGCAUAUGUAAAGUUCUUCGUCAUUUCUCCUGAUAGUUAGACCAUCCCUCUCUCAUUCGUUUUCUCCUUCAUGACAUCCUCACACUCCUGUGCUUGGAUUGUUUUGUCCUUUGGAGAUAAAACCUUCAGUGAGGAUACUCACUGUUCCUCAAAUGAUUAUUAAAAUGUUAUUACAGGGGUGCCUGGGUGGCUCAGUUGGUUAAGCGUCUGACUUCGGCUCAGGUCAUGAUCUCAUGGUUCAUGAGUUCAAGCUCCAUGUGGGGCUUUCUGCUGUCAGCAUGGAGCCCACUUUGGAUCCACUGUCCUUUUCCCUCUCUGCCUCUCCCCUGCUUAUGCAUGCUCUCUCUCUCAAAAACAAACAUUUGAGAAAAUGUUAUUGCAUAAAUAGUACCUCUCUAUUAAAGAAAAAUAGAAAGCAGAAGAAGAUGACUAGAAAUAAGCAUCCAUAAUUCCGCCACUGCCAUUUUGGUAUUCUUUUUAUGUAAUUUUUAAAAUUUGGGGUCAAGGGUGCCUGGGUGGCUCACCUGGUUGAGUGUCUGACCCUUGAUUUCAGCUCAGGUCAUGAUCUUACUGUUGGUGGGAUAGAGCCCCACAUUAGGCUCUGUGUUGACAACACGGAGCCUGCUUGGGAUUCUCUCUCUCUCUCUCUCUGCCCCUUCCCCCACUUUUGCACACGUGCACAUGAGUACUCUCUCUUUCUCUCUCAAAAUAAAUAAAUAAACAUUAAAACAAUUGGGGGCCAAACUGUUUACACUAUUUUAAAGCCUGCUUUAUUAUCAGUACUGUGAAUUUUUUUCCGUGUAUAUGUACACCGAUAUUUUAAAUGAUUGCAUACUUUACGAUGUAUGGAAGUAUCAUAACAUGUCAUCAAUGAACUCUUGGACACUUUUAGUUUUUAUCAACAAGACUAUUAAAAAUUAUAUAAUCUUAGGGUGCCUGGGUGGCUCAGUUGGUUAAGCAUCCAAAUCUUGAUUUCAGCUCAGGUCAUGAUCUCACGUUUUGUUGAGUUCAAACACCAUGUGGGGCUCCACACUGUCAGAGGUUUUUUUAAAAUAAACUUUAAAAACACAACACUAUUCUUUAAAAAAAAGUUAUAUAAUCUGGGGCACCUGGGUGGCUCAAUAGGUUAAGUGUCCAGCUCUUGAUCUCAGCUCAGGUCUUGAUCUCAGGGUUCAAGCCCUAUGUUGGGCUGCACAAUGAGUGCGAAACCUACUUUAAAAAAUAAAAUUAAAUAGUCUAUCCCUGAAGGUUUAUUUUCCCAAAAUAAAUAUUGGAAUUUUUACAUCAGAAGCUGUGCUCAAUUUUUGAGAAUUUUCUUAUAUUUUGCCAAAGUACUUGCCAGAAAAUUUACCUUUUUAUGCUCCCAUUAUUCAUCUCUGGGAUGUCUACCCUCAAUAGCACUGAUUAUUGUUCCUUUUAACAUUUGUAGUUUGAUAAACAGAUAUCUCAUUGUUUUACUGGUUAGUAGAGAGGCUAAACAUUUUAAUAUAUUUUUUGGCCUUGCAUUCCCUCUUUUUUGAAUUCUUUGCUCCUAUCAAGUGCCCAUUUUCUUCAAGGUGGAUGUUUGAGAUUAACCACUUAGUUCUGAAAUGCAAAAAAGUAUGCUCAAGUUCUGAAAAUAAUUAUCAACCCCUCCAAAAAAUUGUCAUUGUCUGCUUUGCCAUCACCACCUAGUUAUUUAAUUUUUACAAAUUUCUUCCUCCCCGAAAUAGGUUUCUGGUUGAUUUUCACUCUUAUUCCCUUCUCAAGAAGUCCUUAGAUUUUCAAAAUUUAUUUUCUCUUAUCCCAUGAAGUGCCAUAUUAAUAUUAUGCUAAGUAUAUUAAAUUUUAAUUUCACUUAUUUAUUUUGAGAAAGAGAGAGAGAGGGGUUUAAAAAUAUUGUCUCACUUUUGAAAAUAAAAAGUACAUCUUGAGUCUUAUAUUUGAGGAGUAUAUUAAAUAAGCUUGAGGAACAUAUUAAACUAUUGAAUAAAAUAGUUGCAAUGCUGGUAUUUGUCUCAAGGUGGGAGUUCGGAGGAAGUGGAGUCAGUAUCUCUAUAGCAGUAUUUGCUGCCUGUUUCCCAACUAUUUUGCUGCUUUUUGCUGGCCCUCAUGUAUGUUAUUACCUUAAAAUCCUUACCCAGGAUUUUAAAUCAUUAAAAAUGAUUUUAAUCCUUAAAAUCAUUACCCAGUUCUAAAGCCCACCUACUGGACAUUGGUGGAGGCUGUUAGUAUCAGUCACACCAGAGAGAGAAGAGUGGGCAGGAAACUCAUCAGGGGAUCUUGGUUGGCCUCUAUAUCUUAGCUCUAUUUUUAACUCUCUGCAAUCAACGUUGAUGACAUUAGACAUUUGCUUAAUCUCAGUGCCUUCGGUCACUCUUUCUUUGGCUCAUUCCUCUCACACCUUAGACCCUUCUCCCAAGCUACACCCUAUGCUUAGAGUGACCAUAUGCUCUCUUUUUCUCGAGUCCCAAUUUCAAAUAUUCUGUCCUAUUGCCAAAUCAGAUGUCAGACCAUAUGCUUCAUAUUUUCUUUGGGGAAAUAUAUUCACUUACCUGUGCUUCAGUUCCCUAAAUUCUGCUCAUCACGAUUUCUAUUGGUUUUGCAAAACAGUUUAUGAAAAAUGUCAUUAAUCCAAAAUACAGCUCAGAUAUUCUCUCUUACGGGAAGCAUUCCUUCAUAGCCUGCCUUCCUUCAGUGCGGCUCAUAAGUGCUCCCAGAGCUGUCUCUGUGCCUCCUUCCGCAGGGCACAACCCAAGCCUUAGAUUUCCCUCACCCACACAUUAGAAUUGCCAUCCUUGGCAUAUCUGGAAAAAGUGAAAGCUGAGGAGGGUUGCUCUAUAUCUAUUAUGGAUUCACCCACCUGCACUUUGCUGCUCAGGAAGGUAUUCUCUGUCCAGUUAGAGAAUACCCUUCAUUUUUCUACUGUUAAUGGUUUGGAUCAUACACUCUAGUCCACAUUCUCUUUCUCCUGCCUGGUAGCCUAUUGAUCUGAGUAUUCCCCAGCAGUACAUGUCCCCAUCUUGGUUGUUUCAGUCUAGAAUAAUACCAUGGGUGAGGGGUGGGCUUUCCCCUCUAUAUCUAGUUGUACAGUCUAGAGUCCAGAAAGAGAUUCAGUAUUCUAAGGAUCUAGGAGACAAUUAUCAGAUCAUGCACAUAUACACACAUUGAUUUCUCAAGGACAAACAUCAAUUUUCAGAGCAGUACCAAUAAAGAGGAAAAGAACCCUUGUCCUAAUUUUUUUUAUAUAACACAGCCCUGGUACACAAUGGAGAUAGGAAUUUGCAUUAUAAUGCAGAAUAGCAUUAAUUUUUGUAUUCAUCUUUCCUUUCUCUUCUGCUUUUAAACAGGAGGCUCCAGGCUAACAAGAAAUAAGAAAAUGGACCAACUGCUGAGUCUAAUUUCCUCCUAAUGGAUGAGAAUAUGUUAUAAGCUGUGGCCCAUGUCUGCAGAAAAACAUACAGCUAGCCAAUGCAUGAAGAAUUUUACAUAGUUUCAAGGCACCCAUGGAUCUGUCUAAAAGAUUUCUGCAUCUCAGGAUAAGAAUUCCUGUCAUAUUUAUAUGUGUGUUAGGCACUGGAGAAGCAGAUAUUAAUCAAAGAAUCAUAUAGACAAAUGUAAAUUACCACUGUAAUUUUAGGUGCAUAACAGGUUGGUUGUCCUAGGCAGAGAGGUCCCAGAAGGCUUUUCUGGCAAAGUGAUGAUUGGGGUAAAGUCAAACAGAAGGGUAGAGAGAGUCCAGAUAGAGGAAAUAGCCUGAAAAAAAGUUCUGUGGUCAGGAGGCAUAGGCAUAUUUAGGGAAUGGAAAGGCUAGUGUGGCUGAUGGACAGAGAAUGAGGGAGAGGAAAGCUUCAGAAAGAGGCCAGUUAUGAAGGGCCUCAUAGACCAGUUAGGGAACUUAGUCUUUAUUCUAGGAGCAUUGGGAACUGUUCGUGGUAGAAGGGUGAUACCUGGUUUUGGUUAUGAAUCAAAACUCUGGCUAUUAUGCGGGAAUGAAUUAGAGGGAAGCAGGAGUGGAUGGGGAGAGAUCAGUUUGGACACUAUGACUCUAGUCCAAGGGAAGGUGGUAAUCUCAAGUACAGAGGUGACUGUGGAGGAAAAGAGAAAUGGCUGGGUUCAAGGACCAGCCAGAAGUGAAAUGAUAGAACUGAGAGAUGAGUUGGAAAACAGGAGAACAGGUGAGAGAGAGGGAAAUGUUAAGAAGAGCAUCUGGGUUUUGGGUUCCAUGAUAGAUUAAAUGGUGGUUCGGGGCGCCUGGGUGGCUCAGUUGCUUGAGCGACUGACUUCGGCUCAGGUCAUGAUCUUACGGUUUGUGAGUUCGAGCCCUGCGUCGGGCUCUAUGCUGACACCUCAGAGCCUGCAGCCUGCUUCGGAUUCUGUGU